Macadamia integrifolia is the source of this 297-nucleotide long non-coding RNA. RefSeq lists it as uncharacterized. Lineage: Eukaryota; Viridiplantae; Streptophyta; Magnoliopsida; Proteales; Proteaceae. The transcript has 2 exons. The record is from RefSeq and is a predicted model, not a curated record.
UUUACUUAAUAAACAUCAAAUUUUAUUUAGAAAAAUAUAAACUAAUUACUAUUAUUUAUUGAUAGGUAUAUGGGAAGAUUCAAGGUGACAGAUUCAACUGAUACAAUAAUUGUUACAAUCUUUGAGAAUCUUGAAACAAUUACAGGAUGUUCAGCAAGUGAAUAUGCAAGAUCACCAGAAAAGUACUCACAGAUUAUACAUUCAUGUCUAUCCAAACAAUAUUGUUUCUACUUCAAAAUGGAUGCAAGAAAUGAUGGAAGUCGAAUAACAAGACAAAUUGUUGCGGAUACCAUUAAA